AUGGAGAGACCAACUGAAGAAAUAUCUGACUACAGUGAAGCAUGUACUGCGGCAUGUGUGUGCACACUGAAUUAUGACUACGGUUAUAAGAAAGAAGCAGCAGAUCAACUGCAAGUCAAUGGGUUCAGUGACAGUGAUUUGGCCGGUGACAGAAAUGACAGGAAGAGUACCUCGAGUGUGAUCUUUUAUAUCGGUUCGAAUCCUGUUAGCUGGGUUUAUCAGAAGCAAAAUAUUGCUGCUCUCUUCUUGUGUUUAGAAGAAUAUGUUGCUGCAACGGCAGCAGCAUGCCAAGGAAUUUGGUUGGAACGUCUGCUGAGUGGUCUGCUCGAUGAAGAAGCGGUGGAAGUAAUGCUGAAGGUGUACAAUCAGUCAGCAAUCUCGUUGAGCAAAAAUCAUGUUCGUCAUGUAGAAGCAAGUAUAUCGAUGCACGCUAUCACUUCAUAUGUGAGUGUGUUUAGUCGGAAAAGAUCGUGCUUGAACAUGUCAUAA
RNAcentral lists this ribosomal RNA (489 nucleotides) under Triticum aestivum (bread wheat). RNAcentral's name for it is "partial small subunit ribosomal RNA". Lineage: Eukaryota; Viridiplantae; Streptophyta; Magnoliopsida; Poales; Poaceae. The record is from RNAcentral.